Molecule: ribosomal RNA, 468 nt
Filed under: uncultured bacterium
Lineage: Bacteria
Description: partial 16S ribosomal RNA
Rfam family: Bacterial small subunit ribosomal RNA
Source: RNAcentral
GACGAACGCUGGCGGUGUGCUUAACACAUGCAAGUCGAACGGAAAGGCCCUGCUUUUGUGGGGUGCUCGAGUGGCGAACGGGUGAGUAACACGUGAGUAGCCUGCCCUUGACUUUGGGAUAACUUCAGGAAACUGGGGCUAAUACCGGAUAGGAGCUCCUGCUGCAUGGUGGGGGUUGGAAAGUUUCGGCGGUUGGGGAUGGACUCGCGGCUUAUCAGCUUGUUGGUGGGGUAGUGGCUUACCAAGGCUUUGACGGGUAGCCGGCCUGAGAGGGUGACCGGCCACAUGGGGACUGAGAGACGGCCCAGACUCCUACGGGAGGCAGCAGUGGGGAAUAUGGCACAAUGGGCGGAAGCCUGAUGCAGCAACGCCGCGUGCGGGAUGACGGCCUUCGGGUUGUAAACCGCUGUCGCCGGUGACGAAGCGUGAGUGACGGUAAUGGGUAAAGAAGCACCGGCUAACUACGUG